UACAGAGGGGGCGAGCGUUAUUCGGAAUUAUUGGGCGUAAAGCGCGCGUAGGCGGCUUUGUAAGUUAGAGGUGAAAGCCCGGGGCUCAACCCCGGAACUGCCUUUAAGACUGCAUCGCUUGAAUCCAGGAGAGGUGAGUGGAAUUCCGAGUGUAGAGGUGAAAUUCGUAGAUAUUCGGAAGAACACCAGUGGCGAAGGCGGCUCACUGGACUGGUAUUGACGCUGAGGUGCGAAAGCGUGGGGAGCAAACAGG
This 253-nucleotide ribosomal RNA is filed under the name uncultured bacterium. Its description in RNAcentral is "partial 16S ribosomal RNA". It matches the Rfam family "Bacterial small subunit ribosomal RNA", at positions 524 to 776 of the family's 1533-position model. The record is from RNAcentral.